AACGAACGCUGGCGGCAGGCCUAACACAUGCAAGUCGAACGAGAUCUUCGGAUCUAGUGGCGGACGGGUGAGUAACGCGUGGGAACGUGCCCUUCUCUACGGAAUAGCCAUUGGAAACGAUGAGUAAUACCGUAUACGCCCUUCGGGGAAAGAUUUAUCGGAGAAGGAUCGGCCCGCGUUAGAUUAGAUAGUUGGUGGGGUAACGGCCUACCAAGUCUACGAUCUAUAGCUGGUUUUAGAGGAUGAUCAGCAACACUGGGACUGAGACACGGCCCAGACUCCUACGGGAGGCAGCAGUGGGGAAUCUUAGACAAUGGGCGCAAGCCUGAUCUAGCCAUGCCGCGUGUGUGAUGAAGGCCCUAGGGGUAAAGCACUUUCGCCAGGGAUGAUAAUGACAGUACCUGGUAAAGAACCCCGGCU
RNAcentral lists this ribosomal RNA (420 nucleotides) under uncultured bacterium. Its description in RNAcentral is "bacterial SSU rRNA". It matches the Rfam family "Bacterial small subunit ribosomal RNA", at positions 29 to 498 of the family's 1533-position model. The record is from RNAcentral.